Molecule: unclassified non-coding RNA, 246 nt
Filed under: Hevea brasiliensis (rubber tree)
Lineage: Eukaryota; Viridiplantae; Streptophyta; Magnoliopsida; Malpighiales; Euphorbiaceae
Source: RNAcentral
GAGAAGAUCGUCUCGAUCAGCAGCGAGCCCGAGAAGAACGCGUGGAUAAAGGCGCUCGGGAAACCGGCGAUCACGAUCAGCAUGGCGUUACGGAAAAUGUGGCCGUAGAGCACCUGCGUCUCGCUGCACCCCUUGGCGCGCGCGGUCAUCACAUACUGCUUGCGGAUUUCAUCGAGAAACGAGUUCUUGGUCAGCAGCGUCAUGGUCGCGAAGGCGCCGAGCGCCAUCGAAACCAGCGGCAGCGUG